This 497-nucleotide ribosomal RNA is filed under the name uncultured bacterium. RNAcentral describes it as "partial 16S ribosomal RNA". It matches the Rfam family "Bacterial small subunit ribosomal RNA", at positions 28 to 507 of the family's 1533-position model. The record is from RNAcentral.
GAUGAACGCUGGCGGCGUGCCUAAUACAUGCAAGUCGAGCGAACAGAUGAGGAGCUUGCUCCUCUGACGUUAGCGGCGGACGGGUGAGUAACACGUGGAUAACCUACCUAUAAGACUGGGAUAACUUCGGGAAACCGGAGCUAAUACCGGAUAAUAUAUUGAACCUCAUGGUUCAAUAGUGAAAGACGGUUUUGCUGUCACUAAUAGAGGUUUCCGGGCCGCAUUAGCUAGUUGGUAAGGUAACGGCCUACCAAGGCAACGAUGCGUAGCUGACCUGAGAGGGUGAUCGGCCACACUGGAACUGAGACACGGUCCAGACUCCUACGGGAGGCAGCAGUAGGGAAUCUUCCGCAAAGGGCGAAAGCCUGACGGAGCAACGCCGCGUGAGUGAUGAAGGUCUUCGGAUCGUAAAACUCUGUUAUUAGGGAAGAACAAAUGUGUAAGUAACUAUGCACGUCUUGACGGUACCUAAUCAGAAAGCCACGGCUAACUACGUG